UUCUACAGCCGUACUACCCUGAACACGUCUGAUUUCGAAAGCUAAGCAGGGUCAGGCCUGGUUAGUACUUGGAUGGGAGACCGCCUAGGAAUAUCGGGUGCCAUAGGCU
Podarcis lilfordi (Lilford's wall lizard) is the source of this 109-nucleotide non-coding RNA. NCBI's taxonomy places the organism in Eukaryota, Metazoa, Chordata, Lepidosauria, Squamata, Lacertidae. The record is from the annotation of a GenBank genome assembly.